GACGAACGCUGGCGGCGUGCCUAAUACAUGCAAGUCGAGCGAUGACGCAUGAUGAUCGCGCCCUUUUGAAGAGCAGCGAACGGGCGAGUAACGCGUGGGGCAUCAGCUUUUGUGCGGGGGACAACAUCUGGGAACGAAUGACACUACUGCCUCAUACCUCUAAACAUAAGAUUCAAGUUUGCAAGAUGCAAUUGCCUCAUUAAAAGAUGAUUCGGGGUUGUAUUAGUUAGUUGGUGAGGUAAAGGCCAACCAAGGCGAGGAUAACUAGCCGACCUGAGAGGUUGACGGCCACAAUGGGACUGGGACACGGCCCAAACUCCUACGGGGGGGAGCAAGAGGGGAACAUCGGCAAUUGGGGGAAGGCUGACCGAACAACGCCGCGGUGGGGGAGAAAGGUUUCGGGUCGGAAAAGUCUGUUUGUUGGGAAGAACGUGGAGGAGGGUAGAAAGCUCAUGAAGUGACGGUAACUACACAGAAAGGGACGGCUAACUACGUG
RNAcentral lists this ribosomal RNA (496 nucleotides) under uncultured bacterium. RNAcentral describes it as "partial 16S ribosomal RNA". It matches the Rfam family "Bacterial small subunit ribosomal RNA", at positions 28 to 507 of the family's 1533-position model. The record is from RNAcentral.